UAGGCAGCUGGAGAAGAGGAGCGGGGAGAAGAAAAGCACAGGUGAUAAGAGUAUGACGCAUCACUGUUAGCCAAGGAAACAAACAGUGCUUUAGCAUACUGACCAGGAGCAGGUGAAGCCGAGAGGGCUGCUCCCUGGAUUAAAGCCCAAGGAUAAUGGGAGUAGACUUCCUUCCACCCGAUGAAUGUUCUUUUAUUGUGUAACUCACCAUGCACUUUUUACCAGUUAUUUCAUUGUGACCAGCAGUGGUGUGACUACAUCUAACUUCAAUAUUGUAAAUAUUCUCUCAUUUUGUUGUAGCAUUCACUUGACCUAGCCAACUUGCUGGGGUAGUUGCCACUCUGGCUGCGUACGACAUUGUAGUCGCCGAAUCUUGACACCCUCUUCACGCUACUGAUGCAAACUUGUGUAAAUGCUCAUCAACUAUGAAAUUAGUACACAUAUACGCACACACGCCCGCGCGCGCACACACACGGACAUUAAAUUCUAUCAGAAUGGUGACGUUUUUGUGAACAGCAGUAUUUGACGUUUUAUCGGACAUGAACCUUGUGUGGUAGUAAACAUUUUACCUGCUUACCAUCCUCCUAUGCAAGAGCAAGACAAUGACCAAACCGACAAUAAGGCACUCGCAUUCACAAAGUGUCUCACACCUCACCCCGCGAUAUCACACAAAUGUUUGGCGAUCCAUCUUGCACAAUUGAAGAACUUGGAACUUUGGGAUGCCUCUUCCUGUCUGCUACACUGGUCUGUGGCGAGGAAUGACGGCGCUACCGUCUUGAUGUUGAAGAACAAGGACUUACCAAAACCCCUCAGUUUCACCAUUUAGACAAGACAGAAUCUCACAUCGACCUUAUAACGGUCUCAAAAGCUCAGAGGGCCUUACCACAACCCCUCAACGCCAGAAUUCACUUCGUCACAACACAGCAGUCAGGGGCCUUACCAGAACCCCUCCACUUCCUCUCUUCACAAAGGAUGCCAUCCACUGACAGGGCCUUACCAAACCCCCACUUGUGCGCCAAAAACUGAUCUAACGGGGGUAAAAAAAUAAAAAAAGAAAGAAAAGAAAAAAGGUCUAAAAGGCAGGAGUUGGCCUUUACGCAACUCCAUCCAAUUUAUGGAAGGCACUAACCACUAAGUUGUACGAGAAUUUGCCUCCAUCUGAAAUUAUUCACCCACUGUCCAAACCUUUUUCCAACGGGGGGAG
Molecule: long non-coding RNA, 1204 nt
Organism: Syngnathus acus (greater pipefish)
Lineage: Eukaryota; Metazoa; Chordata; Actinopteri; Syngnathiformes; Syngnathidae
Exons: 2
Source: RefSeq, a predicted model, not a curated record